GUCAAGAGCCCAUCAUUUUCCUGCUCUCAGCUCUGUUCACUUCUAGAGUUGCCAUUGACUGUGCCAAGACGAUUAACCAUUCCAUUAGUUGAGGAAGAAACUUGGUCAAAACCAUACGCUGUAGGCAGUGCUACUUUAGCUCCUUUUCUUCUUGCAGCUUUAUGGAAUACUCAGGAUUAUGUGAGUUACCUAGGCAGAAGUGUUGCUAUAGUUCUUGGCAUUUCUGUUGGUUGCACACUGGG
This 242-nucleotide unclassified non-coding RNA is filed under the name Hevea brasiliensis (rubber tree). The record is from RNAcentral. Lineage: Eukaryota; Viridiplantae; Streptophyta; Magnoliopsida; Malpighiales; Euphorbiaceae.